UCCCUGGUGGUCCAGUGGCUAAGUCUCUGUGCUCCUAAUGCAGAAGCCCAGGUUCGACCUCUGGUCAGGGAA
Non-coding RNA from Bos taurus (domestic cattle), 72 nucleotides. The record is from Rfam. Lineage: Eukaryota; Metazoa; Chordata; Mammalia; Artiodactyla; Bovidae.